CGGGUGAGUAACACGUGGGCAAUCUGCCCUGCACUCUGGGACAAGCCCUGGAAACGGGGUCUAAUACCGGAUACUGACCGUCACGGGCAUCCGUGAGGGUCGAAAGCUCCGGCGGUGCAGGAUGAGCCCGCGGCCUAUCAGCUUGUUGGUGAGGUAACGGCUCACCAAGGCGACGACGGGUAGCCGGCCUGAGAGGGCGACCGGCCACACUGGGACUGAGACACGGUACAGACUCCUACGGGAGGCAGCAGUGGGGAAUAUUGCACAAUGGGCGAAAGCCUGAUGCAGCGACGCCGCGUGAGGGAUGACGGCCUUCGGGUUGUAAACCUCUUUCAGCAGGGAAGAAGCGAAAGUGACGGUACCUGCAGAAGAAGCGCCGGCUAACUACGUGCCAGCAGCCGCGGUAAUACGUAGGGCGCGAGCGUUGUCCGGAAUUAUUGGGCGUAAAGAGCUCGUAGGCGGCUUGUCACGUCGGUUGUGAAAGCCCGGGGCUUAACCCCGGGUCUGCAGUCGAUACGGGCAGGCUAGAGUUCGGUAGGGGAGAUCGGAAUUCCUGGUGUAGCGGUGAAAUGCGCAGAUAUCAGGAGGAACACCGGUGGCGAAGGCGGAUCUCUGGGCCGAUACUGACGCUGAGGAGCGAAAGCGUGGGGAGCGAACAGGAUUAGAUACCCUGGUAGUCCACGCCGUAAACGGUGGGCACUAGGUGUGGGCGACAUUCCACGUCGUCCGUGCCGCAGCUAACGCAUUAAGUGCCCCGGCCUGGGGAGUACGGCCGCAAGGCUAAAACUCAAAGGAAUUGACGGGGGCCCGCA
Molecule: ribosomal RNA, 812 nt
Filed under: Streptomyces parvulus
Lineage: Bacteria; Bacillati; Actinomycetota; Actinomycetes; Kitasatosporales; Streptomycetaceae
Description: bacterial SSU rRNA
Rfam family: Bacterial small subunit ribosomal RNA
Source: RNAcentral